This 196-nucleotide unclassified non-coding RNA is filed under the name Glomus sp. RNAcentral describes it as "partial internal transcribed spacer 2". The record is from RNAcentral. Lineage: Eukaryota; Fungi; Glomeromycota; Glomeromycetes; Glomerales; Glomeraceae.
GUGAAUCAUCGAAUCUUUGAACGCAAAUUGCACUCUCUUCUGAUAGGAGGCCUAUUUGAGUUUCAGCCUAAAAAAAAUCUACAUAGUUGGUUUUACGUGGUAACAUUUGUCUGAGAUUGGGUCAGCUUGAACGUUUGGGUUUAAGCGGCUUAAAAUUUUCGUUACGAUUUGAAGAUGUUUUCUAGGUUUUUAUUUU